GACAGAGGUGCCGAGCGUUAGGCGGAAUCACUGGGCUUAAAGCGUGUGUAGGCGGGCGGGCAAGUACCUUGUGAAAUCCCACGGCUCAACCGUGGAACGGCUGGGUAUACUGCCUGUCUUGAGCCAACUAGGGGCGAGCGGAACAGACGGUGGAGCGGUGAAAUGCGUAGAUAUCGUCUGGAACGCCGAAGGUGAAAACAGCUCGCUGGGUGUGCUGACGCUGAGACACGAAGCCAGGGGAGCGAACGGG
This 250-nucleotide ribosomal RNA is filed under the name uncultured bacterium. RNAcentral describes it as "partial 16S ribosomal RNA". It matches the Rfam family "Bacterial small subunit ribosomal RNA", at positions 524 to 776 of the family's 1533-position model. The record is from RNAcentral.